This 467-nucleotide ribosomal RNA is filed under the name uncultured bacterium. RNAcentral's name for it is "partial 16S ribosomal RNA". It matches the Rfam family "Bacterial small subunit ribosomal RNA", at positions 28 to 506 of the family's 1533-position model. The record is from RNAcentral.
GACGAACGCUGGCGGCGUGCUUAACGCAUGCAAGUCGAACGGAAAGGCCCUGCUUUUGUGGGGUGCUCGAGUGGCGAACGGGUGAGUAACACGUGAGUAACCUGCCCUUGACUUUGGGAUAACUUCAGGAAACUGGGGCUAAUACCGGAUAGGAGCUCCUGCUGCAUGGUGGGGGUUGGAAAGUUUCGGCGGUUGGGGAUGGACUCGCGGCUUAUCAGCUUGUUGGUGGGGUAGUGGCUUACCAAGGCUUUGACGGGUAGCCGGCCUGAGAGGGUGACCGGCCACAUUGGGACUGAGAUACGGCCCAGACUCCUACGGGAGGCAGCAGUGGGGAAUAUUGCACAAUGGGCGGAAGCCUGAUGCAGCAACGCCGCGUGCGGGAUGACGGCCUUCGGGUUGUAAACCGCUUUCGCCUGUGACGAAGCGUGAGUGACGGUAAUGGGGAAAGAAGCACCGGCUAACUACGU